Meleagris gallopavo (turkey) is the source of this 197-nucleotide non-coding RNA. The record is from RefSeq and is a predicted model, not a curated record. Lineage: Eukaryota; Metazoa; Chordata; Aves; Galliformes; Phasianidae.
UCUGCAUAUUACCCCACAGUGGCCAGAGGUACAUGACGGCAGUGCUGAAGGUGUUUGGACCGCUCACCCGGAAUUACUACAUCCGUGCCAUCCUGCAUGCAGCACUGGCCGUCCCUGCUGGCUUCCUGCUUUCCACCAUCCUGGGCACUGUCUGUCUGGGCAUUGCCAGCGGCAUCUACCUGCUGGCAGCUGUGCGU